UACGUAGGGUGCGAGCGUUGUCCGGAAUUAUUGGGCGUAAAGCGCGCGUAGGUGGCCCCAUAAGUCCGCUGUGAAAGUCAAAGGCUCAACCUUUGAAAGCCGGUGGAUACUGUGGGACUAGAGUACGGAAGAGGCGAGUGGAAUUCCUGGUGUAGCGGUGGAAUGCGCAGAUAUCAGGAGGAACACCAAUAGCGAAGGCAGCUCGCUGGGACGUUACUGACACUGAGGCGCGAAAGCGUGGGGAGCGAACAGG
RNAcentral lists this ribosomal RNA (253 nucleotides) under uncultured bacterium. Its description in RNAcentral is "partial 16S ribosomal RNA". It matches the Rfam family "Bacterial small subunit ribosomal RNA", at positions 524 to 776 of the family's 1533-position model. The record is from RNAcentral.